UCAUUAGAUGGCUGAAAGCAAGCAUUGGUCUCUUAAACCUUCUUAUAGUAAACUAGCACUUACUUCUAAUGAA
This 73-nucleotide transfer RNA is filed under the name Epicauta impressicornis. RNAcentral's name for it is "tRNA-Lys". Lineage: Eukaryota; Metazoa; Arthropoda; Insecta; Coleoptera; Meloidae. The record is from RNAcentral.